AGGCAUACUCAUUUUUCAUGAUCCUCUUGUCCGAGAUCUGAUGAGUAUGAAGAUAUUUGUAGAUACAGAUGCUGAUGUACGCCUUGCAAGGAGAAUAAGACGAGACACUGUUGAAAAGAAUAGAGAUAUUGCUACAGUAUUAGAUCAGUAUUCCAAGUUUGUCAAACCGGCUUUUGAUGACUUCAUUCUUCCAACAAAGAAGUAUGCUGACAUUAUCAUUCCCCGGGGUGGAGACAACCAUGUCGCGAUCGAUUUGAUUGUGCAACAUAUUAGGACGAAACUUGGUCAACAUGAUCUUUGU
RNAcentral lists this unclassified non-coding RNA (301 nucleotides) under Hevea brasiliensis (rubber tree). Lineage: Eukaryota; Viridiplantae; Streptophyta; Magnoliopsida; Malpighiales; Euphorbiaceae. The record is from RNAcentral.